CCUCUGGAAGCGAUACGUUCACGUUUGUUAAGUGGGUUAGAUGACAUGGAGCUGGAAGACCUGAGAAGGAAGAGAAGAAGGUUCUAUGCUAGACUGGUCAUAUUUAGAAGACAUUUUCAUAUUCUAUCCAUUGUUUUGUGUGCAUUUUAUUCCUCACUACUGUGUAUAUAGUUGACAAUGCUAAGCUUUUUUGAAAUGUCUCUUCUUUUUAGAUGUUCUGAAGUGCCUGAUAUGUUAAAAUUAGAGGUAGCAAAAUCACAUUUUGUAAAUACCUUUUUGUUACAAUUCAUAGGAAAUAUUUUUUGGGGGGAAUGGUCAAAUCACCUGUUGAGUAAUACUCAUUGUGUUUGUGCAGUGGUUCAGGGGAGGAGAGAGGAGGGGGAGGUGCAGAGAGCUCUAUGCCAUCCUGUUUACAGCGAGGCAAGAUGUAUGUCUGUGCAUUUUGUUUUACUUAUCUGUGUAUAUAAUGUACAUAAAGGACAGACGAGUCCUAAUUGACAACAUCUAGUCUUUCUGGAUGUUAAAGAGGUUGCCAGUGUAUGACAAAAGUAGAGUUAGUAAACUAAUAUAUUUUGUACAUUUUGUUUUACAAGUCCUAGGAAAGAUUGUCUUCUGAAAAUUUGAUGUCUUCUGGGUUGAUGGCGAUGGGAAGGGUUCUAGGCCAGAAUGUUCACAUUUGGAAGACUCUUUCAAAUUAUAACUGUUGUUACAUGUUUGCAGUUUAUUCAAGACUGCUGUAUACAUAGUAGACAAAUUAACUCCUUACUUGAAACAUCUAGUCUAUCUAGAUGUUUAGAAGUGCCCGAUGUAUGUUAAAUGUAUAGGUAGUAAAAUACCACUUUGUAAAUAUCUUUUUGCUAAAAUUCAUAGGAAAUGCUUUUGGAAAUUGAAUUGUGAAGCCACCUUUGUG
Molecule: long non-coding RNA, 910 nt
Filed under: Homo sapiens (human)
Lineage: Eukaryota; Metazoa; Chordata; Mammalia; Primates; Hominidae
Description: lncAB450.1
Source: RNAcentral